Molecule: long non-coding RNA, 5834 nt
Filed under: Brassica rapa (field mustard)
Lineage: Eukaryota; Viridiplantae; Streptophyta; Magnoliopsida; Brassicales; Brassicaceae
Description: long non-coding RNA (BRAP_LNC007474)
Rfam family: Plant small nucleolar RNA R71 (bases 3813-3919)
Source: RNAcentral
UCAAAGCCACAGGCGGCUGGGAGAGAAAAUAUGGAUAACUAGGGCAAAUCCCGUAAUGAUUGUAGUUUCCUAAAAAAUCUCUGCCGCUGGAACACUCACUCGGAACAGUCAUCAAGACUGUUCUGCGUGAAAACCACCAAAUUGCAUUGUUUUCUGCCUCUUUUGUUCCAGCUGAUCCAUCUCCCAUCAAAUGCAACUCCAGACCUGUAAUGACUCCAAAGGACUAGGAAGACUCGAUAAAGACUUGAAAACUAAUUUAAAAGCAUAUAUACAAGAUGUAUAAAACACCAUAUAUCAAUUCCCCCAGACUUAGAUCCUUGUUUGUCCUCAAACAAUGUCAAGUAUCAAGAACAGGGAGAAAAGUUUGAAAGUGUGGGAACUCUCCUAUUCUCAGCAACCAUACUUUAACCACGAAUCUCUGAACCAUACAAGCAGUAAAACUAGGACAACACACCCUUACCGGAACCCCACUGACUGCUGUUCAAAAAUCGGCUUCAUACUCUUCAUCUCAAACCUGAAAAAGCAACACUAUCGAGACAGAACUCCCUACAUUCAUUUAAGAGUAGCGUGAGCUUCUCAUCACAGGCAUCAUUCAGGGUAGACGGUCUAAAUGUGGAACAGGCUAUUUAAUGGUGGAGUUAAAAGUGUUUAGGGGAUACCAUUUCAUUUAAGAGGAUGCAUGAUAUCACACAAAAUGGCAAGAGAGGAUAGAUCCAUUGAUGUCCACAGCCUCUACUCGUUUUUGCUCUAUCUGGUGCGACUGUUCUGAUGACGGAACAGGCAACUGAGUGUUAUGCUUUCCAUUUUCCUCUACACACUCUUCAAUACUUGGUACCAACUUCUUGCUCGACCUUUCCAGUGGCUCCAUGUUUCUUUUCUUUCUUCCCCUUCUCCAUCACAUUAAUCUCGUUUUUUUUUUUUUUUUUUUUUUUUUUUGAAGACUGAUAUGGUGAUGUGACGAAGAAAGAGGUAAUACAUGAUCGUUCUGAGUGCCACUGGUGGUUCUGAUUUCGCGACCAUUCUGGUUCUCCACCCCUGCUCUUGCGCAGUUUAUUGGUUAUGGAGCGGUUGCUCCCUUAAUCUGCUUGUUCUCCUUUCUUACUGAAUUUUUGUAGCAGUAACGAGUAGCAGGCUGCGUUGAUCCUUUCCUCUCCGACCUUUUUGCACAUAUCUGCACAUAUGACACUGAAAAACAAAUGCAUGAAGGUGGAAUAAAGGCUAAGGUGCAGGGUGGGAACUAGCUAAAGAUGAGCUAGCCACUCAGGAUCAGCAAGAUGGAUAAAAAGGAUAAGAAGUUUUGAGUGUGUUCUCGUUUCCCUGAUCUAAUGCCCAUAACAAGAAGAACUUCAGUCAAGAUUAGGUUCAAGUAAGGUGGAGUUAUGUCUACCCAGUGUAACCUGAUCGGCUGAGAACUUCUGGAGAAUCAAGUGAGAUAUGUCAGGGUGUUCCAGGUCCACAUGUGUGUCUUUCGCCACUGCUAAGGUCACUGAAUAAGAUAACUAAAGCACGAGGUGGUCAGUGAUCAACACAGAAUAAGGUCCUAAUUCCCACAAAGUUUUGACUGACUCAAUAAAAAACGGACUCAAAUUGACCCAAAAGAAAAACAAAAGAGAGAAACGAGUUAGUAAACGACGAAAACCCUCCCCCAGACUUACUUCACAACGUCCCUGGUGUGAAAAUAAAUCAGAGAGAAGGAGAAAACAAAAAUAAUUUUUUUUUGGUCGAGAUACUUACCUGAGUGGAGCAGACGCUCCAUGAAAGUUCUGGGUGUUCUAUCGUCAGAUGAUCGCCUGGAACAACCGCUCUUUUCAGGGGGUAGGUUGUUCCGUUUCUGCAACCCAGAAUUUUUGAAGUAUCUCGAAUUUUUCUGCUUUUUGACCUGAAACUCAAUAAACUAAAACGAAAAAUAAGUAAACAAAAACAAAACCAAGUUAUAUUUACACUUACCAGUGGGUUGCCUCCCACCAAGCGCUUGGUUUAAGUCUCUAGCUUGACUUGGUGACUGGGAUCAGUCGGGUUGAGCAGGAGGGCCUGUUCCAAAACAAGCGCCACAAUCAGACAUGUUCAGCUUCAGAACUCUACUCAGCAACCCUUUCACAGCAGCUUCCCCUUUCUCCUUCAGCUCAUGUGUGAGAAUAGCUCUGACUUUAGAGAAAGUUUUAGAGGUACCCUUGCACUUUACCUCAUACUCAAUGGAGUUCUCAUCACACUUGAGAGGUAUCAAAGUCAUUGUAGGAUCUCCCUUGACCCUUUUCUUCUGGACUUUCUGUUUCACCCUUGAAUUCCCUCUGAAUUUAGUAGGAUCAGUGCUAGGAUCUUCAUCAAAGAACAGUCUGCUCUCACCCUUAUCACCAUGCUCCUUCUUUGGAACAACCUUCAGCUUUUCUACAUCAAACACUGAGAUGCGAGAGGCGUGUGAUGAGGAAGAUCUGGUGGGUACAGCCUUGUAGAAAACUUUCUUGUUGAUGUUGGAGAAGCAGACUCUCUUGUUGGGCAUAUCGAUGGUUGCUCCAACAGUAGCCAUGAAUGUCCUUCCAAAUAUCAAAGGCAUCUCAUGAUCCUUGUUCAUCUCAACAACUUGAAACUCAGCAGGAACAAUGCAUUCUCCUACUUGAACAUGAAGGCUGCGGAUGGUUCCAUAUGGGAUUGCUCUGGAAGAGUUUGCAAAGGUCAGGGUCAGCUGAGAACGCUCAACAUCAGCAAUACCCAAAUCGUCUACAAUAGCCUUUGAGACGAGAUUCACACAAGAACCAGAGUCACAAAGAGCAUCCUUGAAGGUUGUUCCUGCGAUGGAACAUGGGAAAACAAACUUUUCAGGAUCAUCAACCUUAGGCAAUACCUUCAAUGCUGGUGUAGACAGUGCUUUGAUAUAGAGAACCUUGAUCUCCUCUUGAGUCUCUCUACAGUGUUUAAAGAACUGGAGCAAUGGACGAAUCUGCAGUGCAUCUUCAAAUGCAAGUUCUUUAGGAAGCCUUCUCACCACCUUGUUAAAACCUAUCAGCUGCUCUUCACUAAUGGGAUCCAUCAGAUGUCUAGGUGGAAUUGGAUAGGGAACCUUGGAAACAUAUACUCGAGAUGGUGGAGUCUCGGCAAGUUCGCUAGAAGCAGUCACUCCAGAGCUAGCAGACUGCUCUGCUCUCUCUUCUGCGCCUGGAGCAGUCUCAGCGAACGGAUGCUCUAUUGCAUUACAGUGCUCAGUCCUAGGAUUUUUAUCAGUUCUUCCAGGGAGCAUCUCUUGUUGCCUCUUGACACUCUCAGCUGUUUGAGCAAGCUGAACAUCGAUCUUUCUUAUGUGGAUUGCAAGAUUGUCAUACUUGUUAUUCAGCUCAGUGAACAUGUUGCCCAUCCUGGUAUUCAUUUCUGUGGUUACCUGAUUCAACGCCUUGGCCUGAACCUGCUGACCCUGCAACAAUUGUUGCAUCAUCAUACCCAGACCCUUCAGCUCAUCUGGUUGACUGUUCUCGUUAGCUGGAACAGCUUGCUGAUUGCUCUGCGGUUGUCGCUUGUUCUGGUUUUGAAUAUGCCCAGCUGUAGCUUGCUCCAUGUUGAAGACGUGCCCUUGGUUGUUUUUCAGUAGCUGAUCAACCUUGGCAGUCAGCUCAUCUAUUUUCUGGGUGUCAGAACUGUUCCCUUUCUUGGAGCAAUCACUCUCCUCUUUCUUAUUAGCUGAGCUAGCAGCCAUGUUCUCAAUCAGCUUAAACGCUCUAUCAGUGGUUUGAGUCAUGAAGUCUCCAUUGCUCGCAGAGUUUAGAGCACCUUGGUAUUUCCAGUCCACUCCAUCAUAGAAAAUGUCCAGGAGGUAAUCAUCAUCAAAUCCAUGGUGAGGACAUUCUCUGCGAUAGUCAUUGAAGCGCUCCCAUGUGUCGCAGAAAGGCUCAUUAGUGAGCUGUCUGAAGGAGGUGAUCUUGUUCCUCAAUGCAGCUGUUCUCGCCUUAGAGUAGAAAUAACUGAGGAACGCUGAUCGGACCUGUUCCCAUGAAGUGAGAGAGCCGGUAGGGAGAGAGUUCAACCACCGUGCAGCUUUUCCAUCAAGAGAGAAUGGGAAUAACAUGCACCUGAUGUAAUCUGGUGGAACACCAUUAGCGCGAGUGAAACUACAGACUUUUUCGAAACUCUCAAUAUGCUCCAUUGGAAUUUCUGUAGAGAGACCAGAGAACACCUUUCUCUGUACUAGACCGAUCAAAGCAGGCUUGAUCUCGAAGUCCUGCCUGGUACAAGGUGGAGGAACAAUGGCAGAGCGCGUAGUAGGAAUGUUACGCGGAAGGUUUCUCUGCCCGAUUGGAACAGUCUGCGCCUGUUGUUCCUGCUGCGCGAGAGCAGCCUGUUCAGCAGCAUCCUGCUGAGCUUGGAUGGUCUGCUGCAUUUGUUGCAUCUGCUGCUGCAUGAGUGCCAUAGCCGCAGCGAGAUCAUCCUGAUUGGCGUGAUCACCCAUAGUGGUGUCAGUUUGCCUUGGCUGUUGACGAUUUGUUCUUUCUAACCUUGCUAGCUCCUGGUUGGUAAAUGUAACUAACUCUCCUUGUGCGUUUCUCCGAGUAUGUCUACUGGUCAUGCACCUGGAAGAUUAGCUGCAACAAAAAGGAUAAGACAAGUUAGAGGUCUUAGACUAAAUAAAUAACCGAAAAAUAAAGGUAAAAAGAUGGUCCCCGGCAACGGCGCCAAUUUGAUAUUACGUGUAUACGCACACCAAAUAACUUAAUGUGCACACUACCACAAUCGAAUGGUAUGUCGAUGUAGCACUUUAGGAUCGAAUCCACAGAGACCAACUGUUACACUUUAUUUCUAUAGGAUCAAUAUUAAGCUAAAACAAUAUGGGAGUUUUAAGAUUGAUGUAUUAUAACAGAAAAUAAAAGAUUAGUUAAAAGGUUUUCAGAUGAUUAAAAGAGCUAGGUUCAGGGUGAUUCAUUGGGAUACUUAGGAUCAUGAGCUACACAACUAUUCAGGAAAACAAUACGAGCCAAUCUAUAACUUGAACAACAAGAAUAGAUAAACCCACUGUCGUGGUGUCUACCAAUUUAUCAAGCAAUCCUAAUGCCUAAACUGUCGUUUGGAUCAGAGAAUGAUGACAAGCAUUAAGUUCAGAUUCAAUUGGUUCACGAUUCGCCUUAACAUCAGCUUUCGUUGGCUAAGGACAAAUCGCCUAUCUAUGCUAUUUCCAGUAACCUAAAACACUUUUGAUGAAUAGAUUAAACUUGUGAUCAGAUGCUAAAUGGCCAGUUUAACAUAAGCAAUAAGCAUAACAAUAGACAGAGAUAUCAAAGAAUAACAAUCCUAUUUGUGUCUAGCUCAUUGAUCCACGAUCCUUAACACCCUAAACCUAACAAGCGACUACUCAGACAUGGACAAAGAAAUCACAGAGACAAAGACUGAAUAAAACAUCAUGCAAUUCAAUAGAAUAAGAAUAGGGUUCAGGAUAAUCUUCUCUAUGACGAGAUAGAUGGAGCCUUCUCCCUUUACAAUAAGCAAAUCCUCAAAUUCUAAAGUCUCCAAUGGUUUUCUUCUGUCUAGAAUAGCGUAGAGAUGAUAAAGAGAAACAUAAAAUAUGAUAUAUCAAAGCCACAGGCGGCUGGGAGAGAAAAUAUGGAUAACUAGGGCAAAUCCCGUAAUGAUUGUAGUUUCCUAAAAAAUCUCUGCCGCUGGAACACUCACUCGGAACAGUCAUCAAGACUGUUCUGCGUGAAAACCACCAAAUUGCAUUGUUUUCUGCCUCUUUUGUUCCAGCUGAUCCAUCUCCCAUCAAAUGCAACUCCAGACCUGUAAUGACUCCAAAAGGACUAGGAAGACUCGAUAAAGACUUGAAAACUAAUUUAAAAGCAUAUAUACAAGAUGUAUAAAAC